RNAcentral lists this transfer RNA (88 nucleotides) under Sulfurospirillum sp. RNAcentral's name for it is "tRNA-Ser". It matches the Rfam family "tRNA". Rfam says of the family: Transfer RNA (tRNA) molecules are approximately 80 nucleotides in length. Their secondary structure includes four short double-helical elements and three loops (D, anti-codon, and T loops). The record is from RNAcentral. Lineage: Bacteria; Pseudomonadati; Campylobacterota; Epsilonproteobacteria; Campylobacterales; Sulfurospirillaceae. RNAcentral also lists the same sequence under 1 other name.
CGGGAGAUGGCAGAGCGGUUGAAUGCACUGGUCUUGAAAACCAGCGAGGGUAAUACCUCCGGGAGUUCGAAUCUCCCUCUCCCGGCCA